RNAcentral lists this ribosomal RNA (429 nucleotides) under uncultured soil bacterium. Its description in RNAcentral is "bacterial SSU rRNA". It matches the Rfam family "Bacterial small subunit ribosomal RNA", at positions 26 to 448 of the family's 1533-position model. The record is from RNAcentral.
AGAUUGAACGCUGGCGGCAUGCCUUACACAUGCAAGUCGAACGGCAGCACGGGAGCAAUCCUGGUGGCGAGUGGCGAACGGGUGAGUAAUACAUCGGAACGUGCCCAGUUGUGGGGGAUAGCCCGGCGAAAGCCGGAUUAAUACCGCAUACGACCUACGGGUGAAAGCGGGGGAUCGCAAGACCUCGCGCUAUUGGAGCGGCCGAUGUCGGAUUAGCUUGUUGGUAGGUAAAAGCCUACCAAGGCUACGAUCCGUAGCUGGUCUGAGAGACGACCAGCCACGACUGGGACUGAGACACGGCCCAGACCUCCUACGGGAGGCAGCGAGUGGGAAUUUGGACAAGUGGGCGAAAGCCUGAUCCAGCCAUCGCCGCGUGACGGGAAGAACGGUCCGUUCGGGUUACGUAAACCGGUCGUUUUAGUCGAAGGG